UUUUCCUUCUCUCUUUUUCAUGUUCCGCCUCCUCUUAGUCCUCUGUCACACAUUUUCCACGUCUCUGAUCUCACACCAAAAGAAGGAAAAGAAAAGGAAACUUUAAUAUGAUAUUUUUCUUUCUUGUUCCUCUUUAAUCAAAAUCUCUAUCUAUUUUUAUUUCUUUCUUCUUCUUCUUUUCUAACACGUUCUUUCCUCUGUUUUCUAAACUAACACAGAGAAAUAAUCGGAGAAAUUGACGGGAAUUCGAGUGACACGAUUUUCGCCUGUUAGGAGCGCGUUUCCCCCUUGUUAGGAUCGCGUUUCCCCCUUGUUAGGAUCGCGUUCCCAUCACGAUUUUCAGUGAGGAACGUAAAUUCUCGGUUCUCACAGAGAUUUGUGAUGGCUUUGCACGCUCCUGGCUACUUAAGAGUUGACUUACGAGGAGUAGUUAGUUUUUCGCGGAAUGAUGAUUAUUAGAGGCGGUUGUUCGAGAAGCUUUGGAGUGUCUUAUGGUUAGGAGAAUAAUGAUUGUGCUUGCAUGAUGCAUCGCCGUUCUGAGAAAUUUUGACACUAUGGUCGAUCUCCAGUAAGGUCUUACGAAUCCCGGAGAUGGUGGUAAUGACUCUACAAUUUCAAGUGGUAAACACAUGGAGUUUACUAUGUGAAGCUGGCUCAAAAGGUCAUUUCUCCAGGAUCAUAUCUCGCUGGAUAGGAUGGAUCUGAGAAACCCGAAAUUCAAAUUUCGGAUUAACGAAAGUAACCACAUCCAGUUCAGUUCUUGAAACUUCUCAUAGGAAAUCUUUGGCAUUUGUUGGAGAUGUUGUUGGCAGGAAUUGAAAAUGAAAAUCUUUGUUGUGCCUCUUUCUCAGGGUUUCUUGUGCACCUACUUUGGCCAUAAUCUGGUACUUAUAUGUGCGGAGUUACUUAUGUGUACCAAAAAUGACUUACCUAUACAUAUAUUCAUUCAACUAAUUUGGCUCCAACCAGUUCCAGACAUCUUAUUGGGCUGAGAGGAUUUUCCAUACUCUUUUAUCAACAAACAUUUCAGAGGCAGGUCGUUCGCUUCUCAAAACUCAUUGUUCCAAACCAUUAAAGGCCAUUAUGGGGGUUCCUUGAGACACAGUUUCCUCCUCAAGGCCUCCGGUUUGUUAUUCGUCGGCUGCGCCUGCUGGUUACCAUUUCAGAGGUUAAUCUUUGACAGGUUAAAUUGGUGAAUUGGAGUAUGUUGAGGAUCAUAAGUCAUGGAAAAUUGUUGUUAAAAUGAACGGUGGAUAAACAAUUUUGGUAUUAUCACUCCGUUUUAGUGCAAGUAAGAAGGAGGUCGAGCCAUGGACCUGCUAGACAGGUUGUAUUCUUUUUUUUUUAGUGUGGUGUUAAAUUGUUUUCUUUUCUCUUUUCAUUCAGAGGCAGUACAUUCUGCAUCAUACAGGUAAAGAGUUCUUAUAUAAACUAAUGAGCUUAAGGAAAAUUGCAUAGUAUAGACCUUAUAAUUCGAAGGGGUAAGACCUAUGCAUUGCGUUUAAUGUAGUGUUCAUAUGACACUUAGCAGUGUAUUUCUUAGUAGACAAAAACUCAUUGGUGAUAAUUCAGUGUUGUUCGUUUGUUUACGUUGUUGACUGGUAAAUCUGUGCUUCGGCUACGUAAUGCUUGCUACAUCUGCUGGCAUCCUGCUAUCAAUGAUGCAAGGAGGACGAACGUUGGUGGUAAAUAUAUGGUUUCCUAUUUCUCAUAUCUUUUGGAUUACAUUCGGUUCAAUAUAUGUUUGGUUUCAUUUCAAGUUGACUACGACAUUGUUAGGCAGAAAUAGAUAUAUAAAUGUUCUACA
Papaver somniferum (opium poppy) is the source of this 1807-nucleotide long non-coding RNA. RefSeq lists it as uncharacterized. The record is from RefSeq and is a predicted model, not a curated record. The transcript is spliced from 4 exons. NCBI's taxonomy places the organism in Eukaryota, Viridiplantae, Streptophyta, Magnoliopsida, Ranunculales, Papaveraceae.